This 402-nucleotide ribosomal RNA is filed under the name uncultured bacterium. RNAcentral describes it as "bacterial SSU rRNA". It matches the Rfam family "Bacterial small subunit ribosomal RNA", at positions 355 to 774 of the family's 1533-position model. The record is from RNAcentral.
UGGGGAAUAUUGGACAAUGGGCGCAAGCCUGAUCCAGCCAUGCCGCGUGGGUGAUGAAGGCCUUAGGGUUGUAAAGCCCUUUCGGCGGGGAAGAUAAUGACGGUACCCGCAGAAGAAGCCCCGGCUAACUUCGUGCCAGCAGCCGCGGUAAUACGAAGGGGGCUAGCGUUGCUCGGAAUUACUGGGCGUAAAGCGCACGUAGGCGGCUUGUUAAGUCGGGGGUGAAAUCCCGGAGCUCAACUCCGGAACUGCCUUCGAUACGGGCAAGCUCGAGUCCGGGAGAGGUGAGUGGAACUGCGAGUGUAGAGGUGAAAUUCGUAGAUAUUCGCAGGAACACCAGUGGCGAAGGCGGCUCACUGGCCCGGUACUGACGCUGAGGUGCGAAAGCGUGGGGAGCAAACA